AGCAGCCGCGGUAAAUUCCAGCUCCAAUAGCGUAUAUUAAAGUUGUUGCAGUUAAAAAGCUCGUAGUUGAAUUUCGGGAUCAAUAUGCUGGUCGUGCCUUUGGUACGUACUGGCAUUAUUGGUUUCUCCUUUCUGAUGAAUCACGAUGUCAUUAAUUUGGUGUCAUGGGGAAUCAGGACUGUUACUUUGAAAAAUUAGAGUGUUUAAAGCAGGCUUACGCUUGAAUACAUUAGCAUGGAAUAAUGAAAUAGGACGUUUAAUUCUAUUUUGUUGGUUUCUAGGAUUGACGUAAUGAUUAAUAGGGAUAGUUGGGGGCAUUAGUAUUCAAUUGUCAGAGGUGAAAUUCUUGGAUUUAUUGAAGACUAACUACUGCGAAAGCAUUUGCCAAGGAUGUUUUCAU
RNAcentral lists this ribosomal RNA (400 nucleotides) under uncultured Glomeromycotina. Its description in RNAcentral is "SSU rRNA". It matches the Rfam family "Eukaryotic small subunit ribosomal RNA", at positions 569 to 973 of the family's 1831-position model. Lineage: Eukaryota; Fungi; Glomeromycota. The record is from RNAcentral.